Molecule: ribosomal RNA, 1080 nt
Filed under: Acinetobacter baumannii
Lineage: Bacteria; Pseudomonadati; Pseudomonadota; Gammaproteobacteria; Moraxellales; Moraxellaceae
Description: bacterial SSU rRNA
Rfam family: Bacterial small subunit ribosomal RNA
Source: RNAcentral
UUUAACUGAAGAGUUUGAUCAUGGCUCAGAUUGAACGCUGGCGGCAGGCUUAACACAUGCAAGUCGAGCGGGGGAAGGUAGCUUGCUACUGGACCUAGCGGCGGACGGGUGAGUAAUGCUUAGGAAUCUGCCUAUUAGUGGGGGACAACAUCUCGAAAGGGAUGCUAAUACCGCAUACGUCCUACGGGAGAAAGCAGGGGAUCUUCGGACCUUGCGCUAAUAGAUGAGCCUAAGUCGGAUUAGCUAGUUGGUGGGGUAAAGGCCUACCAAGGCGACGAUCUGUAGCGGGUCUGAGAGGAUGAUCCGCCACACUGGGACUGAGACACGGCCCAGACUCCUACGGGAGGCAGCAGUGGGGAAUAUUGGACAAUGGGGGGAACCCUGAUCCAGCCAUGCCGCGUGUGUGAAGAAGGCCUUAUGGUUGUAAAGCACUUUAAGCGAGGAGGAGGCUACUUUAGUUAAUACCUAGAGAUAGUGGACGUUACUCGCAGAAUAAGCACCGGCUAACUCUGUGCCAGCAGCCGCGGUAAUACAGAGGGUGCGAGCGUUAAUCGGAUUUACUGGGCGUAAAGCGUGCGUAGGCGGCUUAUUAAGUCGGAUGUGAAAUCCCCGAGCUUAACUUGGGAAUUGCAUUCGAUACUGGUGAGCUAGAGUAUGGGAGAGGAUGGUAGAAUUCCAGGUGUAGCGGUGAAAUGCGUAGAGAUCUGGAGGAAUACCGAUGGCGAAGGCAGCCAUCUGGCCUAAUACUGACGCUGAGGUACGAAAGCAUGGGGAGCAAACAGGAUUAGAUACCCUGGUAGUCCAUGCCGUAAACGAUGUCUACUAGCCGUUGGGGCCUUUGAGGCUUUAGUGGCGCAGCUAACGCGAUAAGUAGACCGCCUGGGGAGUACGGUCGCAAGACUAAAACUCAAAUGAAUUGACGGGGGCCCGCACAAGCGGUGGAGCAUGUGGUUUAAUUCGAUGCAACGCGAAGAACCUGGCCUUGACAUACUAGAAACUUUCCAGAGAUGGAUUGGUGCCUUCGGGAAUCUAGAUACAGGUGCUGCAUGGCUGUCGUCAGCUCGUGUCGUGAGAUGUUGG